Chelonia mydas (Green sea turtle) is the source of this 151-nucleotide long non-coding RNA. RefSeq lists it as uncharacterized. The transcript is spliced from 3 exons. The record is from RefSeq and is a predicted model, not a curated record. Lineage: Eukaryota; Metazoa; Chordata; Testudines; Cheloniidae.
CUAACCUAGUGAGGAAGGCUUUAAACUAGGUUCACCGGGGGAAGGAGACCAAAGCCCUGAGAUUGAUGGAAUAUGCUCAGGUCAUGCAGGUACGCUUGAAGAUGAAAGGCAUUAAUGAGGUGAAAGAUCAUCGCACCUCAACUUUAAAAGC